RNAcentral lists this ribosomal RNA (800 nucleotides) under uncultured bacterium. RNAcentral's name for it is "bacterial SSU rRNA". It matches the Rfam family "Bacterial small subunit ribosomal RNA", at positions 8 to 787 of the family's 1533-position model. The record is from RNAcentral.
AGAGUUUGAUCCUGGCUCAGGAUGAACGCUGGCGGCGUGCCUAAUACAUGCAAGUCGAGCGAAUGGAUUAAGAGCUUGCUCUUAUGAAGUUAGCGGCGGACGGGUGAGUAACACGUGGGUAACCUGCCCAUAAAACUGGGAUAACUCCGGGAAACCGGGGCUAAUACCGGAUAACAUUUUGAACUGCAUGGUUCGAAAUUGAAAGGCGGCUUCGGCUGUCACUUAUGGAUGGACCCGCGUCGCAUUAGCUAGUUGGUGAGGUAAUGGCUCACCAAGGCAACGAUGCGUAGCCGACCUGAGAGGGUGAUCGGCCACACUGGGACUGAGACACGGCCCAGACUCCUACGGGAGGCAGCAGUAGGGAAUCUUCCGCAAUGGACUAAAGUCUGACGGAGCAACGCCGCGUGAGUGAUGAAGGCUUUCGGGUCGUAAAACUCUGUUGUUAGGGAAGAACAAGUGCUACUUGAAUAAGCUGGCACCUUGACGGUACCUAACCAGAAAGCCACGGCUAACUACGUGCCAGCAGCCGCGGUAAUACGUAUGUGGCAAGCGUUAUCCGGAAUUAUUGGGCGUAGAGCGCGCGCACGUGGUUUCUUAAGUCUGAUGUGAAAGCCCACGGCUCACCCGUGGAGGGUCAUUGGAAACUGGGAGACUUGAGUGCAGAAGAGGAAAGUGGAAUUCCAUGUGUAGCGGUGAUAUGCGUAGAGAUAUGGAGGAACACCAGUGGCGAAGGCGACUUUCUGGUCUGUAACUGACACUGAUGCGCGAACAGCGUGGGGAGCAUACACGAUUAGAUACCC